UAGAGUUUGAUUCCUGGCUCAGAACGAACGCUGGCGGGCGUGCUUAACACAUGCAAGUCGUACGAGAAAAGAGGGGCAACUCUCUGAGUAAAGUGGCGCACGGGUGAGUAACGCGUGGGUAACCUACCCUUGAAUUGGGGAUAACUCCGCGAAAGCGGGGUUAAUACCGAAUAAUAUUCCGAUGCCCUCGGGUGUUGGAAUCAAAGAUGGCCUCUGCAUGCAAGCUAUCGUUUAAGGAUGGGCCCGCGUACCAUUAGCUUGUUGGUAGGGUAAAAGCCUACCAAGGCAACGAUGGUUAGCUGGUCUGGGAGGAUGGCCAGCCACACUGGAACUGAGACACGGUCCAGACUCCUACGGGAGGCAGCAGUGGGGAAUCUUGCGCAAUGGGGGAAACCCUGACGCAGCAACGCCGCGUGGGUGAUGAAGGCCUUCGGGUCGUAAAGCCCUGUCAGGUGGGAAGAAACUUAUGGAUGUUAACACCAUCCAUACUUGACG
RNAcentral lists this ribosomal RNA (495 nucleotides) under uncultured bacterium. RNAcentral describes it as "bacterial SSU rRNA". It matches the Rfam family "Bacterial small subunit ribosomal RNA", at positions 1 to 474 of the family's 1533-position model. The record is from RNAcentral.